CGUUCUGUAAGCCUGCGAAGGUGUGCUGUGAGGCAUGCUGGAGGUAUCAGAAGUGCGAAUGCUGACAUAAGUAACGAUAAAGCGGGUGAAAAGCCCGCUCGCCGGAAGACCAAGGGUUCCUGUCCAACGUUAAUCGGGGCAGGGUGAGUCGACCCCUAAGGCGAGGCCGAAAGGCGUAGUCGAUGGGAAACAGGUUAAUAUUCCUGUACUUGGUGUUACUGCGAAGGGGGGACGGAGAAGGCUAUGUUGGCCGGGCGACGGUUGUCCCGGUUUAAGCGUGUAGGCUGGUUUUCCAGGCAAAUCCGGAAAAUCAAGGCUGAGGCGUGAUGACGAGGCACUACGGUGCUGAAGCAACAAAUGCCCUGCUUCCAGGAAAAGCCUCUAAGCAUCAGGUAACAUCAAAUCGUACCCCAAACCGACACAGGUGGUCAGGUAGAGAAUACCAAGGCGCUUGAGAGAACUCGGGUGAAGGAACUAGGCAAAAUGGUGCCGUAACUUCGGGAGAAGGCACGCUGAUAUGUAGGUGAGGUCCCUCGCGGAUGGAGCUGAAAUCAGUCGAAGAUACCAGCUGGCUGCAACUGUUUAUUAAAAACACAGCACUGUGCAAACACGAAAGUGGACGUAUACGGUGUGACGCCUGCCCGGUGCCGGAAGGUUAAUUGAUGGGGUUAGCGCAAGCGAAGCUCUUGAUCGAAGCCCCGGUAAACGGCGGCCGUAACUAUAACGGUCCUAAGGUAGCGAAAUUCCUUGUCGGGUAAGUUCCGACCUGCACGAAUGGCGUAAUGAUGGCCAGGCUGUCUCCACCCGAGACUCAGUGAAAUUGAACUCGCUGUGAAGAUGCAGUGUACCCGCGGCAAGACGGAAAGACCCCGUGAACCUUUACUAUAGCUUGACACUGAACAUUGAGCCUUGAUGUGUAGGAUAGGUGGGAGGCUUUGAAGUGUGGACGCCAGUCUGCAUGGAGCCGACCUUGAAAUACCACCCUUUAAUGUUUGAUGUUCUAACGUUGACCCGUAAUCCGGGUUGCGGACAGUGUCUGGUGGGUAGUUUGACUGGGGCGGUCUCCUCCUAAAGAGUAACGGAGGAGCACGAAGGUUGGCUAAUCCUGGUCGGACAUCAGGAGGUUAGUGCAAUGGCAUAAGCCAGCUUGACUGCGAGCGUGACGGCGCGAGCAGGUGCGAAAGCAGGUCAUAGUGAUCCGGUGGUUCUGAAUGGAAGGGCCAUCGCUCAACGGAUAAAAGGUACUCCGGGGAUAACAGGCUGAUACCGCCCAAGAGUUCAUAUCGACGGCGGUGUUUGGCACCUCGAUGUCGGCUCAUCACAUCCUGGGGCUGAAGUAGGUCCCAAGGGUAUGGCUGUUCGCCAUUUAAAGUGGUACGCGAGCUGGGUUUAGAACGUCGUGAGACAGUUCGGUCCCUAUCUGCCGUGGGCGCUGGAGAACUGAGGGGGGCUGCUCCUAGUACGAGAGGACCGGAGUGGACGCAUCACUGGUGUUCGGGUUGUCAUGCCAAUGGCACUGCCCGGUAGCUAAAUGCGGAAGAGAUAAGUGCUGAAAGCAUCUAAGCACGAAACUUGCCCCGAGAUGAGUUCUCCCUGACCCUUUAAGGGUCCU
This 1612-nucleotide ribosomal RNA is filed under the name Escherichia coli. RNAcentral describes it as "partial 23S ribosomal RNA". It matches the Rfam family "Bacterial large subunit ribosomal RNA", at positions 1237 to 2829 of the family's 2925-position model. The record is from RNAcentral. Lineage: Bacteria; Pseudomonadati; Pseudomonadota; Gammaproteobacteria; Enterobacterales; Enterobacteriaceae.